UGUUGCAUUUAUUAUCCUUUCGAUUACUGUGUUGCUUGUUUCUUUAAUAAAACUUUCUUAGUUCUAGUACUCCAGACUCCAACUGAGUGAUCCAUUUCUGCUGGUUUGGCAACCCAGUUACGGGGGUCCUUGCAAAUAUUGAUGCCCCGUUGGAUAUACCCAAAACAUUAUCAUCUUGAAGUUACCUACCAGAGUUGGUUGUUUCUCAGAUUGGCUACCAUGCUUUCUCCACCAGAACUUGCCUGGAUUGAUGAAGGCAAAUGCUGGAGGAACUCAGCAGGUCAGGCACCAUUCAUGGAGAUGGACAAGCAGUCAACGUUUUGAGCCGAAUCUCUUCUUCAGGACGAAGGAGGAAGACACCAGAAUAAAAAGGUCAGGAUCGGUGUCCUCCUCCUGUGCAGUGAUUCAGUGGUUUGUCAUUGAUGAGCUGGCAUAAAUGAUUCUGCUGCAAAGAAUGAGAGAGAUAUCCUUCAAUCAAUCAUCAUCAUCAUCAGGUGCCAUGCCCAGUUUGAGCUUUGACUGCCAUGGCCCACACACUCCUGUUUCAGGUCAAGUGGAUCAAUUC
Mobula hypostoma (lesser devil ray) is the source of this 565-nucleotide long non-coding RNA. RefSeq lists it as uncharacterized. The record is from RefSeq and is a predicted model, not a curated record. NCBI's taxonomy places the organism in Eukaryota, Metazoa, Chordata, Chondrichthyes, Myliobatiformes, Myliobatidae. The transcript is spliced from 5 exons.